UAUCUUUCUCAAGACAUUCAUAGCAGAUUCAGCUGUACAAAAGUCAAGAUGUUUCUCCUAGCUCUGUGCCUCGUUGGAACCGCUUUGGCUGCUCCAGCCAUUCCGGAAGAAACGAUCAUUCCAGAGGAGACCCGUGUACUGGUGUCUCCUUACAUUACUUACCCGUCGCCAAUUCUUCCUCUGAGAACCCUGAUGAUCGAACCGGAGUUUAAGGAAG
This is a long non-coding RNA of Cydia fagiglandana, 217 nucleotides long. RefSeq lists it as uncharacterized. The record is from RefSeq and is a predicted model, not a curated record. The transcript has 2 exons. NCBI's taxonomy places the organism in Eukaryota, Metazoa, Arthropoda, Insecta, Lepidoptera, Tortricidae.